AAGUCGUAACAAGGUUUCCGUAGGUGAACCUGCGGAAGGAUCAUUAACAAAUAUUAUAAAAAUUAUUGUUAUAAUUCACCCAUUUUUAUGUGAACCUUUGAUAAAACUGUGAAAUUGCUCUGGUAUUUUUUGGUUUUGAACUUGUAGUUCAAUUUGAAUUGCCUACCAGUAGUUUUUUUUAAAAAAUUAUUAAUUUACUAUUUUUAAGUUUAAUUUAUAUCUAUUUUUCUAUUGAAAUUUUUUACAUAUUUUUUAUGUUUAAAAUGACAAGAAAAAAAAUAAAAACAUAAUACAACUUGCAACAAUGGAUCUCUUGGCUCUU
Molecule: unclassified non-coding RNA, 322 nt
Filed under: fungal sp.
Lineage: Eukaryota; Fungi
Description: partial internal transcribed spacer region
Rfam family: Eukaryotic small subunit ribosomal RNA (bases 1-46)
Source: RNAcentral